Molecule: transfer RNA, 76 nt
Filed under: Dehalococcoidales bacterium
Lineage: Bacteria; Bacillati; Chloroflexota; Dehalococcoidia; Dehalococcoidales
Also listed under: 1 other name
Description: tRNA-Ala
Rfam family: tRNA
About the family: Transfer RNA (tRNA) molecules are approximately 80 nucleotides in length. Their secondary structure includes four short double-helical elements and three loops (D, anti-codon, and T loops).
Source: RNAcentral
GGGCCUGUAGCUCAAUUGGGAGAGCGCCUGAUUUGCAUUCAGGAGGUCAGGGGUUCGAAUCCCCUCAGGUCCACCA